GGAAUUUUCCGCAAUGGGCGAAAGCCUGACGGAGCAACGCCGCGUGAGGGAUGAAGGCCUCUGGGCUGUAAACCUCUUUUAUCAAGGAAGAAGAUCUGACGGUACUUGAUGAAUAAGCCACGGCUAAUUCCGUGCCAGCAGCCGCGGUAAUACGGGAGUGGCAAGCGUUAUCCGGAAUUAUUGGGCGUAAAGCGUCCGCAGGCGGUCUUGUAAGUCUGUCGUUAAAGCGUGGAGCUUAACUCCAUUUGAGCGAUGGAAACUGCAAGACUAGAGUGUGGUAGGGGCAGAGGGAAUUCCCGGUGUAGCGGUGAAAUGCGUAGAUAUCGGGAAGAACACCAAUGGCGAAAGCACUCUACUGGGCCAUAACUGACACUGAGAGACGACAGCUAGGGGAGCAAAUGGGAUUAGAUACCCCCGUAGUC
This 422-nucleotide ribosomal RNA is filed under the name uncultured cyanobacterium. RNAcentral describes it as "bacterial SSU rRNA". It matches the Rfam family "Bacterial small subunit ribosomal RNA", at positions 358 to 795 of the family's 1533-position model. The record is from RNAcentral. Lineage: Bacteria; Bacillati; Cyanobacteriota.